UCCUUGUCUCUAGAGACGUUUGUACGUCCUGGCUCACGGACGAACGGCUGCGGCGUGGCCUAAUACAUGCAAGUCGAGUCGGACCGUUCUUCGGAAGGUCGAGCGGCGGACGGGUGAGUAACACUGGGCAACCUGCCUGUAAGACUGGGAGUAACUCCGGAAACCGGGGCCGUAAUAACCGGAUAAUCCUUUUCCUCUCAUGAGGAAAAGCUGAAAGACGGUUUCGGCUGUCACUUACAGAUGGGCCCGCGGCGCAUUAGCUAGUUGGUGAGGUAAUGGCUCACCAAGGCGACGAUGCGUAGCCGACCUGAGAGGGUGAUCGGCCACACUGGGACUGAGACACGGCCCAGACUCCUACGGGAGGCAGCAGUAGGGAAUCUUCCACAAUGGACGAAAGUCUGAUGGAGCAACGCCGCGUGAGCGAUGAAGGCCUUCGGGUCGUAAAGCUCUGUUGUUAGGGAAGAACAAGUACCGGAGUAACUGCCGGUACCUUGACGGUACCUAACCAGAAAGCCACGACUAACUACGUG
Molecule: ribosomal RNA, 530 nt
Filed under: uncultured Caryophanales bacterium
Lineage: Bacteria; Bacillati; Bacillota; Bacilli; Caryophanales
Description: bacterial SSU rRNA
Rfam family: Bacterial small subunit ribosomal RNA
Source: RNAcentral